RNAcentral lists this long non-coding RNA (230 nucleotides) under Athene cunicularia (burrowing owl). Its description in RNAcentral is "lncRNA (ENSACUG00000002574.1)". The record is from RNAcentral. Lineage: Eukaryota; Metazoa; Chordata; Aves; Strigiformes; Strigidae.
GUAGAAAAGAGUAGUUAAGAUAUGAGCAAGAAACUUGGGAAAUGUGCAUUCUACUACAGGGUGUUUUAGAAUAUGUUCUUGUGCCACUGAGAUCAGUGAUAAUGGGAUGAGUGUGGACCAUGGUUUCUAUUCUGCCGUUCAUACCACAAGAAUUCCAAAGCUUCAUGGCAGCAGCCCCUACACCUCUCUUCCAUGUUUGCCACAAGACUUCUGAGUGGAGAUAAACAUAG